CCCUUAGAUGUCCUGGGCCGCACGCGCGUUACACUGAUGCAUUCAACGAGCUUAUAACCUUGGCCGAGAGGCCCGGGCAAUCUUGUUAACGUGCAUCGUGAUAGGGAUAGAUUAUUGAAAUUAUUAAUCUUGAACGAGGAGUUCCUAGUAAACGCAGAUCAUCAAUCUGCAUUGAUUACGUCCCUGCCCUUUGUACACACCGCCCGUCGCACCUACCGAUUGGAUGGUCCGGUGAAGCCUCGGGAUUGUGGUUCUUGCCGCUUUAUUGUGGCGUGACCGCGAGAACUUGUCUAAACCUUAUCAUCUAGAGGAAGGUGAAGUCGUAACA
This 328-nucleotide ribosomal RNA is filed under the name uncultured eukaryote. RNAcentral's name for it is "partial 18S ribosomal RNA". It matches the Rfam family "Eukaryotic small subunit ribosomal RNA", at positions 1470 to 1796 of the family's 1831-position model. The record is from RNAcentral.